AGACUAGAUACUAACCCGCGCUAUGCGCGGAAAUUAUUUAAACGAAUCUUUCUAAUUGUUACUGAAAUUAGAAUAUAUAAAUUAUGUUUUUCUUUUUUUUUUUGCACAAUAGAUAUUUUUUAUAUAUUUGUGUAUAUAAUAUAGUUUGUGGAUAUAUAAUAUACACGGGUAUUUUUUUUCCUUCCAUAUAAGUAUAUAUAUAAAUAUUUAUAAGCUAAGACGAAAAUAACUUAUAUAAUCGUAUGGCCCAUCAAUGGCAUUUUUUUAUAUAUGAAAUUGGCCCAUUAGCUAGAGUUUUGAGGAAAAAAGAAUACCGAUAUUUUUUCCCGGAAGGUCAAUAAGAUGUAACUACUUUACUUUCUUUUUACUUUCCUUUCACUUUUCUGUCGGUGGUGCUGAAACGUUUCUCCAUAAACAUCAAAGAAAUCUUCUCAAUCGAAAACAAAUCAAAUAGAUUUUCCCCGAUUCACGAUCAAAUCUUGGCCACCUUAAGGAGUUUUUUGUGGCUUCGCCGCAAGAUUGGCGAAGAAUCAUACACUCGCAGAGCAAAGUUUAUGGAACUUAUUUAAAUCAAGCUGUAGUUCGACUAUCGUUAGCGUCUUCGAAGACACUCCUUUGAUCGAGAAUCUUGAAUGAUGAAGGCAAAGCUAAUGAUGAGAUAAGUUCCAUGUUUUUUUUUGGACACCGGUUUUCUCUGGUUCAAUUUUCCAAAAUUGUUUUAGGAUUUAAAGGUUUUAAAAAUCGACUUGUGAUAUAUUUAUCGACAGGUAACAAUGUUUUGAUCUUCUGAGACUAAAGAAGAGUAGUCAAGUAAAAGUUGAAGAAAGGGAGAGUAAGGAGAAUUCACAUAUAAUGAAGCUUGAAUUUAUGGCUAGUUGGUCGAUACUUCCCGGUUGCUGGAGUAAACGAGAAAUUCUCAUGGAACCUCCAUUCUCCAACUUGCAAUCUCUUAACACGAGCGAGGAAGAGCCUCUUGCAGUGAUUGAUAUGAACUACAGAGAACACAGAAGAAAAAGUGUUGUGAUUCAAGUAAUGAAAUGAAGUAUAAACAUGUUUGUCCAAGCAGAGUCUGUAUGUAAGAUAUAAUCUAUAGAUAAGAAUUGUGUAUCGUAUUAUUUUUAUAAUUAUAGAUAACCAGUCCAGGGUAAAAUUACUCGACAUUCAGAAGGUUGGUUUAGUUUUAUAACGGAUGCUGGUAUGAUUUUAAUAUAAAAUCGGUUUAUUCAUUAAGAAGGGUAUAACUAAUAUCACAUGUAACUCUCUAGGAAAGGUCCGAAAAAUUAAAACAACUUCUAUCAGUAGAUUUUUUUUUAGGACUCUGUUUUAAUAAAGUAGAUAAUAACCUAGAUCACAAAUAAAGUAUAUCCCGCCCGUAGGGUGGACCAACCCUAAUAAAAUAUAAAGUUAUGUAAAAUAGUAUUGUUACAUAAUAAUGUUUACAAAAUAUAUUUUUUUUACAAAAUACAAAAAAAAUAUGUAAAAUAAUAUUGUUACAUAAUAAUGUUAUAUAAAUUAGAAUAUUUUAAUAUAAAAGAAUAAAACCCAAGAUCUAGUUCUCAUAAUUAAACUGAGAUGGACUAAACGAUUCGAUUGACUUAAAUAAUCAGGUGCCAAAUUUCUGCCGCUAACUAUGUCCCUCGAUGGUUGGAUUAAUCAUAUGACUCUUGACAUGAACAGCUGUAGCUACAUAUAUAUAGGCCUGGGAAUAUGAGUUUUUACCCGCGGGACCCGGCCCGUUUGACCCGCCGCGGGGCGGGUGCGGGUCGAACAAUUUAGAAAAAUCGAUUCGCGGGUGCGGGUGCGGGUU
Brassica napus (rape) is the source of this 1807-nucleotide long non-coding RNA. RefSeq lists it as uncharacterized. The transcript has 4 exons. The record is from RefSeq and is a predicted model, not a curated record. Lineage: Eukaryota; Viridiplantae; Streptophyta; Magnoliopsida; Brassicales; Brassicaceae.